GACGAACGCUGGCGGCGUGCCUAAUACAUGCAAGUUGAGCGCUGAAGGUUGGUACUUGUACCGACUGGAUGAGCAGCGAACGGGUGAGUAACGCGUGGGGAAUCUGCCUUUGAGCGGGGGACAACAUUUGGAAACGAAUGCUAAUACCGCAUAAAAACUUUAAACACAAGUUUUAAGUUUGAAAGAUGCAAUUGCAUCACUCAAAGAUGAUCCCGCGUUGUAUUAGCUAGUUGGUGAGGUAAAGGCUCACCAAGGCGAUGAUACAUAGCCGACCUGAGAGGGUGAUCGGCCACAUUGGGACUGAGACACGGCCCAAACUCCUACGGGAGGCAGCAGUAGGGAAUCUUCGGCAAUGGACGAAAGUCUGACCGAGCAACGCCGCGUGAGUGAAGAAGGUUUUCGGAUCGUAAAACUCUGUUGGUAGAGAAGAACGUUGGUGAGAGUGGAAAGCUCAUCAAGUGACGGUAACUACCCAGAAAGGGA
RNAcentral lists this ribosomal RNA (483 nucleotides) under uncultured bacterium. RNAcentral's name for it is "bacterial SSU rRNA". It matches the Rfam family "Bacterial small subunit ribosomal RNA", at positions 28 to 493 of the family's 1533-position model. The record is from RNAcentral.